This 372-nucleotide long non-coding RNA is filed under the name Apteryx haastii (Great spotted kiwi). RNAcentral describes it as "lncRNA (ENSAHAG00000006727.1)". Lineage: Eukaryota; Metazoa; Chordata; Aves; Apterygiformes; Apterygidae. The record is from RNAcentral.
AUGGCCGGGGGAGGCCUCGGGCCCCUCUGCCUCCCCUGGGGCCUCCUUCCCCAGGGCGGCUGUGCAAAAUGGCAGCCAACUCGAACUACAGCUCCCGUGAUGCCCCGGGAAGAGGAGCGGACUACAGCUCCCGUCGUCCCCCGCGCGGAGGGUGGGCGUGGCUUCCCCGUGGCGUGCCCGCCCACCCCGCGCUACCCUAUAAAUAGGCCCCGGCGGGUUGUGGUAGCCUCUCUCUCGGCCGUCGCCAUCUUGUGGGCGCUCGGUGGCCGCCUCCAUCCACUUCCAUCCGCCGCCCGCGCCGCCAUGAGGGCCAAGUGGCGAAAGAAGCGUAUGCGCAGGCUGAAGCGCAAGAGAAGGAAGAUGAGGCAGAGG